This 208-nucleotide microRNA precursor is filed under the name Oryza nivara. RNAcentral's name for it is "MIR812 microRNA precursor family". It matches the Rfam family "MIR812 microRNA precursor family". Lineage: Eukaryota; Viridiplantae; Streptophyta; Magnoliopsida; Poales; Poaceae. The record is from Rfam by way of RNAcentral.
AAUACUUGUCGCUUUGAGUUUUUGUUUGUAAUGUUUGAUCAUUUGUCUUGUUCAAAAAAAAAUUAUGAAACUAUUAUUUAUUUUGUUUGUAACUCGCUUUAUUAAAAAAUAUUUUAAGUAUGACUUAUCAUUUUUUGUAUUUGCACUAAUUUUUCAAAUAAGACAAAUGGUCAAACAUUACAAGUAAAAAGUCAAAGCGACCACUAAU